This 977-nucleotide ribosomal RNA is filed under the name uncultured bacterium. RNAcentral's name for it is "bacterial SSU rRNA". It matches the Rfam family "Bacterial small subunit ribosomal RNA", at positions 28 to 1009 of the family's 1533-position model. The record is from RNAcentral.
GAUGAACGCUAGCGGCAGGCUUAACACAUGCAAGUCGAGGGGUAGGAGAAGCUUGCUUUUCUGAGACCGGCGCACGGGUGCGUAACGCGUAUGCAAUCUACCUUUCACAGAGGGAUAGCCCAGAGAAAUUUGGAUUAAUACCUCAUAGUAUAAUUGAAUGGCAUCAUUUAAUUAUUAAAGAUUUAUCGGUGAAAGAUGAGCAUGCGUCCCAUUAGCUAGUUGGUAUGGUAACGGCAUACCAAGGCAACGAUGGGUAGGGGUCCUGAGAGGGAGAUCCCCCACACUGGUACUGAGACACGGACCAGACUCCUACGGGAGGCAGCAGUGAGGAAUAUUGGACAAUGGGCGCAAGCCUGAUCCAGCCAUGCCGCGUGCAGGAUGACGGUCCUAUGGAUUGUAAACUGCUUUUAUACAGGAAGAAACACUCCCUCGUGAGGGAGCUUGACGGUACUGUAAGAAUAAGGAUCGGCUAACUCCGUGCCAGCAGCCGCGGUAAUACGGAGGAUCCAAGCGUUAUCCGGAAUCAUUGGGUUUAAAGGGUCCGUAGGCGGUCAGGUAAGUCAGUGGUGAAAGCCCAUCGCUCAACGGUGGAACGGCCAUUGAUACUGUCUGACUUGAAUUAUUAGGAAGUAACUAGAAUAUGUAGUGUAGCGGUGAAAUGCUUAGAGAUUACAUGGAAUACCAAUUGCGAAGGCAGGUUACUACUAAUUGAUUGACGCUGAUGGACGAAAGCGUGGGUAGCGAACAGGAUUAGAUGCCCUGGUAGUCCACGCCGUAAACGAUGGAUACUAGCUGUUGGGAGCAAUCUCAGUGGCUAAGCGAAAGUGAUAAGUAUCCCACCUGGGGAGUACGAACGCAAGUUUGAAACUCAAAGGAAUUGACGGGGGCCCGCACAAGCGGUGGAGCAUGUGGUUUAAUUCGAUGAUACGCGAGGAACCUUACCAAGGCUUAAAUGUAGUUUGACCGGUUGGAAACAG